UACCCGACCAGUAAUAGGAAAACUACUUAUUUUUAUAACUAAAAACUAAGCUUCCUAUAACACUUUGCAAGAGAGAAAAUUAUUUUAGAAUUUGUUCACAAACGUGUGUGUGUGUGUGUGCACAUGCACGAUGCAACGAUGUCCCUGCGAGGUUAACAUCACACGGGUGUCAUAGAGAUGAUGUCAUAAAAACACAACAUUUAUAAUAAAUUCGAUUUCGCACAUCUCUAUGAGUUUUGUGUAACUUUAUUGUGAUCAUUGUGACUUUCAUGCUAUGUAAAUAGUGAUACCAUGGAUGGACCACUAGAUGUCAGGAAAUCCUCAAGACUCAAACAACAAACAGCAGAAGCCAGUGUUUGCUCCGACCAGUCGGUAGACUGAUGUGCGACUAGCUCUUGAAGUCUGGAUUGAAUUUUGUUAUCUUCAACGAAUAUAAUUGAGCUUAGAAGACUGAACAAAAUUGACCAACAUUGCACAUAAUAUAAGAAACUGUAUUUCGAAAAAAGGAAAAGAAUGAAAUCCUCUUAUUGAAUAAAACGCACGAAAAUAGAAGUGAGAAAAAUUUCGACUAUCUUCUACAUAUGAAUAUAUGUUCGGUUAAAAAAAAAUGAAAGAGCUUCAAUUGGACGAGAUUCAUUCGAUAUUUGCACGAAUAAAAGGAGCAAGAGUUUAUUGCUAGUGAUACCAUGGAUGGACCACUAGAUUUUAAGAAAUCCUUACGACUAAACAACAAACAGCAGAAGCCAGUGUUUGUUCUGAUCAGUCGGCCACAGACUGAUAUGCAACUAACUCUUGAUGUUUGAACUGAAUUUUGUUAUCUGCAACAAAUAUAAUUAUAAACUCAGAAGACUGAACAAAAUAUUAAGACCAACACUGUAUAUAAUAUUAGGAACAGACAAGGUGUUGCUGAACAAUGCAGCAGGGAAUAUUGAAGCUCCACUUUUCCACAAUUUCAACGGAUACGUUAACAAAUGUUAUCUGAUACUUCUGUAUAAGUGAUAAAAAGGUAAUAAGUAAUCGUUCAUUCUACUCAACCUGCAUUCGAUAAUGUCUCGACUCCCGCCCAUAAAAUUUUCUUUAAUAGAAAUUAUACUCUAUCAUUCACAAUA
Long non-coding RNA from Harpegnathos saltator (Jerdon's jumping ant), 1109 nucleotides. RefSeq lists it as uncharacterized. NCBI's taxonomy places the organism in Eukaryota, Metazoa, Arthropoda, Insecta, Hymenoptera, Formicidae. The transcript has 5 exons. The record is from RefSeq and is a predicted model, not a curated record.